This 253-nucleotide ribosomal RNA is filed under the name uncultured bacterium. Its description in RNAcentral is "partial 16S ribosomal RNA". It matches the Rfam family "Bacterial small subunit ribosomal RNA", at positions 524 to 776 of the family's 1533-position model. The record is from RNAcentral.
UACGUAGGGUGCAAGCGUUGUCCGGAAUUAUUGGGCGUAAAGAGCUCGUAGGCGGUCUGUCGCGUCGGCUGUGAAAUCCCGGAGCUCAACUCCGGGUCUGCAGUCGAUACGGGCAAACUGGAGUACUGCAGGGGAGACUGGAAUUCCUGGUGUAGCGGUGAAAUGCGCAGAUAUCAGGAGGAACACCGGUGGCGAAGGCGGCUCUCUGGGACGGUACUGACGCUGAGACGCGAAAGCGUGGGGAGCGAACAGG